Molecule: ribosomal RNA, 256 nt
Filed under: uncultured Basidiomycota
Lineage: Eukaryota; Fungi; Basidiomycota
Description: partial 18S ribosomal RNA
Rfam family: Eukaryotic small subunit ribosomal RNA
Source: RNAcentral
AAGCUCGUAGUUGAAUUUCGAAUGUGGCUGGGCGGUCCGCCUCACGGUGUGUACUGUCUGGCUGUGUUCUCUUUCUUGGUGAGCCGGCAUGCCCUUUACUGGGUGUGUUGGGGAACCAGGACGUUUACCUUGAGAAAAUUAGAGUGUUCAAAGCAGGCCUACGCCCGAAUACAUUAGCAUGGCAUAAUAAAAUAGGACGUGCGGUUCUAUUUUGUUGGUCUCUAGAGCCGCAGUAAUGAUUAAUGGGAUAGUUGGG